UACGUAGGGGGCGAGCGUUGUCCGGAACGAUUGGGCGUAAAGGGCGCGCAGGCGGCCUGUCAAGUCAGUAGUGGAAGUCCAUUUUUCAAGGAUGGAAGUGCUAUAGAAACUGAUGGGCUUGAGUGCAGGAGAGGUUAUCGGAAUUCCCGGUGUAGCGGUGAAAUGCGUAGAGAUCGGGAGGAACACCAGUGGCGAAGGCGACUUUCUGGUCUAUUAUUGACGCUGAGGCUCGAAAGCAUGGGUAGCAAACAGGAUUAGAUACCCU
This 265-nucleotide ribosomal RNA is filed under the name uncultured prokaryote. RNAcentral describes it as "partial 16S ribosomal RNA". It matches the Rfam family "Bacterial small subunit ribosomal RNA", at positions 524 to 788 of the family's 1533-position model. The record is from RNAcentral.